This 382-nucleotide ribosomal RNA is filed under the name uncultured bacterium. RNAcentral describes it as "partial 16S ribosomal RNA". It matches the Rfam family "Bacterial small subunit ribosomal RNA", at positions 965 to 1352 of the family's 1533-position model. The record is from RNAcentral.
AGCACCCACCCAACAUUGCAUUGAUUUCUAAAAAAGAAAUAAAGAAUCUUUUUUUUGGCCAGGAAAAACGGUGGGCAUGGGGGUUGUUAGUUCGAUCUUGAAAUGUUGGGUUUAGGUCCAAAACAGGCCAAACCCCUAUUUCUUAGUGCCAGGGGUUAAAGCGGGGCACUCUAGGGAGACUGCCAUGGAUAAACGGGAGGAAGGUGGGGAUGACGUCAAAUCAUCAUGCCCCUUAUGCUUUGGGCUACACACGUGUUACAAUGGUGUUAACAAAGAGAAGCCAAGUCGCGAGAGGAGCAAAUCCCAAAAACACAGUCUCAGUUCGGAUUGCAGUCUGCAACUCGCCUGCAUGAAGUCGGAAUCGCUAGUAAUCGCAGAUCAG